This 700-nucleotide ribosomal RNA is filed under the name uncultured bacterium. RNAcentral describes it as "bacterial SSU rRNA". It matches the Rfam family "Bacterial small subunit ribosomal RNA", at positions 42 to 785 of the family's 1533-position model. The record is from RNAcentral.
UCAGGCCUAACACAUGCAAGUCGAACGAAGUAGCAAUACUUAGUGGCAGACGGGUGAGUAACAUGUAGGUAUCUGCCCUUUGGCCUGGAAUAACACGAGGAAACUUGUGCUAAUACCGGAUAAGUCUUUACGGAGAAAGCUUUAUGCACCAUUGGAUGAACCUGCACUUGAUUAGUUUGUUGGUGGGGUAAUGGCCUACCAAGACUGUGAUCAAUAGCUGAUUUGAGAGGAUGAUCAGCCACAUUGGGACUGAGACACGGCCCAAACUCCUACGGGAGGCAGCAGUGGGGAAUCUUGCACAAUGGAGGAAACUCUGAUGCAGCGAUGCCGCGUGAGUGAAGAAGGCCCUUUGGGUUGUAAAGCUCUUUCGUCGGGGAAGAAAAUGACUGUACCCGAAUAAGAAGGUCCGGCUAACUUUCGUGCCAGCAGCCGCGGUAAUACGAAGGGACCUAGCGUAGUUCGGAAUUACUGGGCUUAAAGAGUUCGUAGGUGGUUGAAAAAGUUGGUGGUGAAAUCCCAGAGCUUAACUCUGGAACUGCCAUCAAAACUUUUCAGCUAGAGUAUGAUAGAGGAAAGCAGAAUUUCUAGUGUAGAGGUGAAAUUCGUAGAUAUUAGAAAGAAUACCAAUUGCGAAGGCAGCUUUCUGGAUCAUUACUGACACUGAGGAACGAAAGCAUGGGUAGCGAAGAGGAUUAGAUAC